GGCGGCUCGAGAAAGAGGGCUCAGAGGAUUUCUAGAAAAUAGAUUAGAAUUAGCCAAGAAUGGGAAAGAGCAGAGGAAGGAACACUGACUGCACUCAGAAUACAGCUCUGGCUAAGAAUUUGAGCCUCAAGAAGCCAGCGACUUAGACCAGCUCCCCUAGAAACAGACCCUGACUAAGGAUUCAAGCAAAAGUAGUUUACUAAGAAGAGAUCCCAGGAAGCACAAAAGGAGUAGUCAAGAAGUGAAACAAAAAGAGAUUUUAAGCACUCUGUGUGGGAAAAAGAAAAGUGUCUUAUUCAACUCCGUACUCUCUUCCGCAAGCUUCAUAAGAUACAACAGCAUCAAGCAGGGCACUUCCCACAUGCCACAGAGAAAAGGCCAUGUGAGGACACAGCAAGAAGGUGGCCAUUGGCAAACCAAGAAGAGAGCCCUCACCAGGAACCCAACUAACCAGCAUCUUGAUCAUGGACUUGUAGCCUCCAGAACUAUGAGAAAAUAAAUGUCUGUUGUUUAAGCCACCCAGUCUGUUUUUGUCAUGGCAGCCUGAGCAGACUAAUAUAGUUUAUUUGUCUAUUGUUUUCACUGCCAACCAGUAUCCACCUCCUCCUCCUCCUCCUCAACUGGUAAUGAUUUUCCUUUGGUUAUUCACCCAACUCCCAGGCAACCUAUGUGAUUCAAGGUGGAACCAAUGGCUCAGACAUAAAUAAAUCAACAUAAUUCCAAUCCCUGCCCACACUGAUUUGUUCAAGGAUGAGCAUGUGACCAUAAAGCUGGCCUGAUCAAAACGAAGUCUAUGAUGUGUGUUCGAAGGUUGACAUAAGCCGUAAUUUUCUUUUCUGCUGGAUGGGCAUCUGGAGGAUAUAGCAUCAAGAGUGGAUGAAAGUCAUCUGUCCUGCAACCAUAAGACAAAUGUUUGUCUUCAAGUUGAGCCACCCAAAUGGAAAAGAGCCAAAAGAUGGAUCCUGGCCACAGUGUUUGGGCCUUGCAUCAAGCCACAUACAAGCUUGUAUUUACUCCUGGAUGGUAUAUUUAUGUGAAACAAUAA
RNAcentral lists this long non-coding RNA (1045 nucleotides) under Homo sapiens (human). RNAcentral's name for it is "HSALNT0151190". The record is from RNAcentral. Lineage: Eukaryota; Metazoa; Chordata; Mammalia; Primates; Hominidae.